GAUGAACGCUGGCGGCGUGCCUAAUACAUGCAAGUCGAGCGAACAGACGAGGAGCUUGCUCCUCUGACGUUAGCGGCGGACGGGCGAGUAACACGUGGAUAACCUACCUAUAAUACUGGGAUAACUUCGGGAAACCGGAGCUAAUACCGGAUAAUAUAUUGAACCGCAUGGUUCAAUAGUGAAAGACGGUUUUGCUGUCACUUAUAGAUGGAUCCGCGCCGCAUUAGCUAGUUGGUAAGGUAACGGCUUACCAAGGCGACGAUGCGUAGCCGACCUGAGAGGGUGAUCGGCCACACUGGAACUGAGACACGGUCCAGACUCCUACGGGAGGCAGCAGUAGGGAAUCUUCUGCAAUGGGCGAAAGCCUGACGGAGCAACGCCGCGUGGGUGAUGAAGGUCUUCGGAUUGUAAAACUCUGUUAUUAGGGAAGAACAGAUGUGUAAGUAGCUAUGCACGUCUUGACGGUACCUAAUCAGAAAGCCCCGGCUAACUUCGUG
RNAcentral lists this ribosomal RNA (497 nucleotides) under uncultured bacterium. RNAcentral's name for it is "partial 16S ribosomal RNA". It matches the Rfam family "Bacterial small subunit ribosomal RNA", at positions 28 to 507 of the family's 1533-position model. The record is from RNAcentral.